AUUUUCUUAGUAUAAAAGUAUUUUUGACUUCCAAUCAAAAGGUCUAGUAUUGUCUAGAGAAAAUA
RNAcentral lists this transfer RNA (65 nucleotides) under Tetraloides nigrifrons. RNAcentral describes it as "tRNA-Gly". The record is from RNAcentral. Lineage: Eukaryota; Metazoa; Arthropoda; Malacostraca; Decapoda; Tetraliidae.